AAAGAAGGCAUGGGGCCUACUACCUUGAGUGACGCAGGGGCAGAGGCACAUGGCACUCACAGCUCAUCACAGAUUGCUGGGGAUGUCCCACAUGGAACUGUAGGACCUAAUGUUUGCCCUGCUGGAUUUUGGAUUUGUGUUGGUCCCAAUGCUUGGU
Octodon degus (degu) is the source of this 157-nucleotide long non-coding RNA. RefSeq lists it as uncharacterized. Lineage: Eukaryota; Metazoa; Chordata; Mammalia; Rodentia; Octodontidae. The record is from RefSeq and is a predicted model, not a curated record. The transcript is spliced from 3 exons.